Molecule: long non-coding RNA, 1227 nt
Filed under: Chinchilla lanigera (long-tailed chinchilla)
Lineage: Eukaryota; Metazoa; Chordata; Mammalia; Rodentia; Chinchillidae
Description: lncRNA (ENSCLAG00000025982.1)
Source: RNAcentral
GUUUGCUCAGCAACUCUGGGCACCUGUAGAUUCUUGAGUCCCUUUCUGGGCUCCAGCACACCAGCCCCAGUGUAUGCUGAUUUCCAGCAGCCGGUGCUGUCUCUGACCCACACUGCUCCAGGCUUCGGGAAGUCCCUUUGCCUGUGCAUAGGGUAGGGAGUUGCUGGAGGUGCCCUCCCCAGUCUGUGCCCCAGGACAGGGACUCUAGCUCUGCACCAUCUCCUGCCAGAGCGUUUACCUUGCUGGUACUCCGUGCUGAUGUUGGAGUUAGGGCAAAAAGCCUCAGCUCCAGGAAGCCCCUACAGUCAAGGCUCAAGCCAACGGGGUACAAGCUGUGGGACAUCAAGAAAGGAGAUUUAUUCUCAGUGCAAUCACACCAGGAAGAACAGAAGUCUAGGGACCUGUCUUCAAAGUGCUUUCUGUAGUCUCAGGGUCACAUAAGAAAGAGGAACCAAAGCCCAGGGUCAGGAAUUCCAUGGUUGGCAGCCCAGGUCAUCUUGGUCUAGCAGUCAUUUGGUUAAUUACGAUCUCAGGACCAGCCAUGUGGAGCUUUGCUGGCAUCAGGAUCACUGCUGCUCAUAAGGAAGUUUCAGUCAUAAGAUGUUCAUCAAUCAGGCUGGAGUCCUGGGUACCUGCAGAGGAGAAUGACUCAGGAGAACUCAGAAGGGAAAACAAGAUCCUGCCACCUGUGGUGCCUCCGACGGGGAACGUAAGUCAGAAAAGCAGCCACCCUGGUCCAGGGAGUUCCCAGGAAACCACCCAGCCUUCAUCAUCCUGUCUCUGCCGAGCUCCUUGGAGCAGUCCCCAGCAUCCCUACCUGCAGAACAGAAGCCUGAGCAUGAGGACCUGGGUAGCCAGCAGAACAUGGGGGCCCAUGCCUCAUCUUUCCCCACACAUGCAUCCUUCAGGACAACUGGCCUCCUUCCAGUCCCUAGAGAAGCUCUACUCUGCUCCUCCAGGCCUUGGACUCAGCCAGUCCUACUUGCUGCCUGGCCAACUCCUACAUAGCCUUCUAAGCAGCUCCAGCAUUGCCUCCUCCUGGAAGCCCUCCAUGACCACAUCUUCUCCUGAUUGGGCUGCAUACUCCACCUAAGCACCCACAUCGAUUUCUGACCUAACCCAGAGCUGGCCACAUUUGUGUGUAUUUGGUAUGGCCUCUCAGCUUGUCUGUCUCCUGGAAAAUGCCCACCGGCUGUGCACAGCUGAAUCCCGGAACACAGUAAGCAG